GUACAGUGUUUUUUUGUGUCUUAUGAUGAAGCUUCAUAGGGCAGAUUCUGAGUUGAGAAAUAAAAUUUCUCUCCACUGAUAUUUGCUAUGUACUAUCUGAAGACACUACUUAUUGC
Small nucleolar RNA from Anser brachyrhynchus (Pink-footed goose), 116 nucleotides. Ensembl annotates it as small nucleolar RNA, C/D box 90. Its record names the gene SNORD90. The record is from Ensembl. Lineage: Eukaryota; Metazoa; Chordata; Aves; Anseriformes; Anatidae.